This is a non-coding RNA of Burkholderiales bacterium, 82 nucleotides long. NCBI's taxonomy places the organism in Bacteria, Pseudomonadati, Pseudomonadota, Betaproteobacteria, Burkholderiales. The record is from Rfam.
UCGCAUCCGCCAACCGGUCCAGCCGUGUCGCGGAAGGUUUUUUUACCAGCUAAUGUUUCCCCGAGGGAAACGGAGGUCAGCG